GGGGAGAGUGUUGUACCCCAGCAUAAGCUGGUGGUUGCUGACUUCCGCUUUCGGAUUCGUGUCCAGCGGGAUAAGCGUGCCAAGGUCGCUAGAACGAAGUGGUGGAAUCUCAAGGGGGAGGUAGCUCAGGUGUUCAAGGAGAGGGUAUUUAAGGAGGGCCCUUGGGAGGAAGGAGGGGAUGCGGACAAUGUGUGGAUGAAGACGGCGACUUGCAUUCGUAAGGUGGCCUCGGAGGAGUUUGGAGUGUCCAGGGGAAGGAGAAGCGAAGAUAAGGAUACAUGGUGGUGGAACGAUGAUAUCCAGAAGGCGCUUAAAGAGAAGAAAGAUUGCUUCAGACGCCUAUACCUGGAUAGGAGUGCAGACAACAUAGAGAAGUACAAGAUGGCGAAGAAGGCCGCAAAG
Molecule: ribosomal RNA, 402 nt
Filed under: Triticum aestivum (bread wheat)
Lineage: Eukaryota; Viridiplantae; Streptophyta; Magnoliopsida; Poales; Poaceae
Description: partial small subunit ribosomal RNA
Source: RNAcentral